RNAcentral lists this ribosomal RNA (253 nucleotides) under uncultured bacterium. Its description in RNAcentral is "partial 16S ribosomal RNA". It matches the Rfam family "Bacterial small subunit ribosomal RNA", at positions 524 to 776 of the family's 1533-position model. The record is from RNAcentral.
UACGUAGGGGGCAAGCGUUGUCCGGAAUCAUUGGGCGUAAAGGGCGCGUAGGCGGCUUUGCAAGUGACGGGUGAAAUCCCUCGGCUUAACCGAGGAACUGCCUGUCAAACUGCAUGGCUUGAGACCGGGAGAGGUGAGUGGAAUUCCCAGUGUAGCGGUGAAAUGCGUAGAUAUCUGGAGGAACACCGGUGGCGAAGGCGGCAUCCUGGACCGACACUGACGCUGAGGAGCGAAAGCCAGGGGAGCAAACGGG